This 1363-nucleotide ribosomal RNA is filed under the name Faucicola osloensis. RNAcentral describes it as "bacterial SSU rRNA". It matches the Rfam family "Bacterial small subunit ribosomal RNA", at positions 76 to 1439 of the family's 1533-position model. Lineage: Bacteria; Pseudomonadati; Pseudomonadota; Gammaproteobacteria; Moraxellales; Moraxellaceae. The record is from RNAcentral.
AGCUUUGCUAGAUAUGAUUAGUGGCGGACGGGUGAGUAACAUUUAGGAAUCUGCCUAGUAGUGGGGGAUAGCUCGGGGAAACUCGAAUUAAUACCGCAUACGACCUACGGGUGAAAGGGGGCGCAAGCUCUUGCUAUUAGAUGAGCCUAAAUCAGAUUAGCUAGUUGGUGGGGUAAAGGCCUACCAAGGCGACGAUCUGUAACUGGUCUGAGAGGAUGAUCAGUCACACCGGAACUGAGACACGGUCCGGACUCCUACGGGAGGCAGCAGUGGGGAAUAUUGGACAAUGGGGGCAACCCUGAUCCAGCCAUGCCGCGUGUGUGAAGAAGGCCUUUUGGUUGUAAAGCACUUUAAGCAGGGAGGAGAGGCUAAUGGUUAAUACCCAUUAGAUUAGACGUUACCUGCAGAAUAAGCACCGGCUAACUCUGUGCCAGCAGCCGCGGUAAUACAGAGGGUGCGAGCGUUAAUCGGAAUUACUGGGCGUAAAGCGAGUGUAGGUGGCUCAUUAAGUCACAUGUGAAAUCCCCGGGCUUAACCUGGGAACUGCAUGUGAUACUGGUGGUGCUAGAAUAUGUGAGAGGGAAGUAGAAUUCCAGGUGUAGCGGUGAAAUGCGUAGAGAUCUGGAGGAAUACCGAUGGCGAAGGCAGCUUCCUGGCAUAAUAUUGACACUGAGAUUCGAAAGCGUGGGUAGCAAACAGGAUUAGAUACCCUGGUAGUCCACGCCGUAAACGAUGUCUACUAGCCGUUGGGGUCCUUGAGACUUUAGUGGCGCAGUUAACGCGAUAAGUAGACCGCCUGGGGAGUACGGCCGCAAGGUUAAAACUCAAAUGAAUUGACGGGGGCCCGCACAAGCGGUGGAGCAUGUGGUUUAAUUCGAUGCAACGCGAAGAACCUUACCUGGUCUUGACAUAGUGAGAAUCCUGCAGAGAUGCGGGAGUGCCUUCGGGAAUUCACAUACAGGUGCUGCAUGGCUGUCGUCAGCUCGUGUCGUGAGAUGUUGGGUUAAGUCCCGCAACGAGCGCAACCCUUUUCCUUAUUUGCCAGCGGGUUAAGCCGGGAACUUUAAGGAUACUGCCAGUGACAAACUGGAGGAAGGCGGGGACGACGUCAAGUCAUCAUGGCCCUUACGACCAGGGCUACACACGUGCUACAAUGGUAGGUACAGAGGGUUGCUACACAGCGAUGUGAUGCUAAUCUCAAAAAGCCUAUCGUAGUCCGGAUUGGAGUCUGCAACUCGACUCCAUGAAGUCGGAAUCGCUAGUAAUCGCAGAUCAGAAUGCUGCGGUGAAUACGUUCCCGGGCCUUGUACACACCGCCCGUCACACCAUGGGAGUCUAUUGCACCAGAAGUAGGUAGCCUAAC